AGAGUUUGAUCCUGGCUCAGGACGAACGCUGGCGGCGUGCUUAACACAUGCAAGUCGAACGAUGAAGCCCAGCUUGCUGGGUGGAUUAGUGGCGAACGGGUGAGUAACACGUGAGUAACCUGCCCUUGACUCUGGGAUAAGCGCUGGAAACGGCGUCUAAUACCGGAUACGACCUGCCCCGGCAUCGGGUGCGGGUGGAAAGUUUUUCGGUCAAGGAUGGACUCGCGGCCUAUCAGCUUGUUGGUGAGGUAAUGGCUCACCAAGGCGACGACGGGUAGCCGGCCUGAGAGGGUGACCGGCCACACUGGGACUGAGACACGGCCCAGACUCCUACGGGAGGCAGCAGUGGGGAAUAUUGCACAAUGGGCGAAAGCCUGAUGCAGCAACGCCGCGUGGGGGAUGACGGCCUUCGGGUUGUAAACCUCUUUUAGUAGGGAAGAAGGACUUCGGUUUGACGGUACCUGCAGAAAUAGCACCGGCUAACUACGUGCCAGCAGCCGCGGUAAU
Molecule: ribosomal RNA, 507 nt
Filed under: Rathayibacter caricis
Lineage: Bacteria; Bacillati; Actinomycetota; Actinomycetes; Micrococcales; Microbacteriaceae
Description: bacterial SSU rRNA
Rfam family: Bacterial small subunit ribosomal RNA
Source: RNAcentral